GCCAGGCAUGGGGGCACAUGCUUGUAAUCCCAGCAGCUCAGGAGGCUGAGGCAGGAGGAUCACAAGUUUAAAGCCAGCCUCAGUAAAUAAGGCAACUCAAUGAGUCCCUGUCUCUA
This 116-nucleotide small RNA is filed under the name Marmota monax (woodchuck). Lineage: Eukaryota; Metazoa; Chordata; Mammalia; Rodentia; Sciuridae. The record is from RNAcentral.